This is a long non-coding RNA of Salvia miltiorrhiza (redroot sage), 500 nucleotides long. RefSeq lists it as uncharacterized. The transcript has 2 exons. The record is from RefSeq and is a predicted model, not a curated record. NCBI's taxonomy places the organism in Eukaryota, Viridiplantae, Streptophyta, Magnoliopsida, Lamiales, Lamiaceae.
GCAGCGGCCAAAACCGCCACCACCGUCUCUCUAUUUCCCUCUCAACAAUCAAACACACGCGCACGGACAUGGCGUAAGCCACGCCGCCGCCGGAUACAGGACAGCAAACGCCCCACCGCGGUGCGCCGCCGCCUGCUCCUUCUUUUCCGACAAACAGCCGAAGCUACCUCCGUCUCCGCCCCGCCCGAAAUCGAUCGGAAACGACGACAGGUUCACCGCCGCCGCUCCGUUGCCGACGACGAGCCACCGAGGCUGUCAUUUCCCGACCUCGACUCACACACAAAACAGGGGUGUCAAGCAUCAAAUCAGUUCAAGGGUUUUCUUGUGCAAAUUCACUUUACAACUGUAAUACUCAAUAUAAAGUCUUUUAUUCAUCUGUAAUUUCAUUUCACAUAUAACAUAUCUUGUAAACAUAUAGUGAAACGUCAAGUAACUGUGUGUGUUGGGAUUCUGUGUUGGUGAUUUAGAGAAUUAAACAAAAGGGGAUAAUACCUUGAGUA